This 733-nucleotide ribosomal RNA is filed under the name uncultured archaeon. RNAcentral's name for it is "bacterial SSU rRNA". It matches the Rfam family "Archaeal small subunit ribosomal RNA", at positions 128 to 859 of the family's 1478-position model. The record is from RNAcentral.
AACCCCGGGAAACUGGGGAUAAUUCCGGAUAACGCACAUAUGCUGGAAUGCUUUAUGCGUAAAAUGGAUUCGUCUGCCCAAGGAUGGGUCUGCGGCCUAUCAGGUAGUAGUGGGUGUAAUGUACCUACUAGCCUACGACGGGUACGGGUUGUGAGAGCAAGAGCCCGGAGAUGGAUUCUGAGACAUGAAUCCAGGCCCUACGGGGCGCAGCAGGCGCGAAAACUUUACAAUGCGGGAAACCGUGAUAAGGGGACACCGAGUGCCAGCAUCCUAUGCUGGCUGUCCGGGUGUGUAAAAUACACCUGUUAGCAAGGGCCGGGCAAGACCGGUGCCAGCCGCCGCGGUAACACCGGCGGCCCGAGUGGUGAUCGUGAUUAUUGGGUCUAAAGGGUCCGUAGCCGGUUUGGUCAGUCCUCCGGGAAAUCUGACAGCUUAACUGUUAGGCUUUCGGAGGAUACUGCCAGACUUGGAACCGGGAGAGGUAAGAGGUACUACAGGGGUAGGAGUGAAAUCUUGUAAUCCCUGUGGGACCACCUGUGGCGAGGGCGUCUUACCAGAACGGGUUCGACGGUGAGGGACGAAAGCUGGGGGCACGAACCGGAUUAGAUACCCGGGUAGUCCCAGCCGUAAACGAUGCUCGCUAGGUGUCAGGCAUGGCGCGACCGUGUCUGGUGCCGCAGGGAAGCCGUGAAGCGAGCCACCUGGGAAGUACGGCCGCAAGGCUGAAACUUAA